Molecule: long non-coding RNA, 1395 nt
Filed under: Homo sapiens (human)
Lineage: Eukaryota; Metazoa; Chordata; Mammalia; Primates; Hominidae
Description: HSALNT0016868
Source: RNAcentral
GUUCCCCAUCCCAGGGCCCCGGGGCCUCCGGGACUCCCCCCGCAACCCAAUGCCGGCUGCGCCGGCGUCAUCCGCCAUUUGGUGUUUUCUCGGAGAAGAAGCUACAUGUGGAAUAUAUUAACGCAACAAAUUGUGCGUACUUGCUAGACAUUAGGCAUGAUAGCAAGUGCUAGGGUUACAAAGUAUUGCUUUUUGGGGAACCCAUGGUUGUUGGGGAGAAACCAGAAGAUCAGUCAUCACAGUGCGGCAAGAUCAGACUUGUGGUUUGUUCAGGUUCUGGGAGCCGUCACUGCAGUGAGAAUGGGACCCUGGUUGAAGGAACCUGUUGUUCUUAUGGUGGAGGGCAGAAACCCAAGAGGGCUGGAGCCAAUCCAUCCCUGUUUUCUUUAGACGCUGACUCCUGCUGUCUACCAGAUCCUCGUGGUACAAUGACUGGUGUAGACUGGCUUGUUGAAGUCACUCUCUGGAUCUGAGCAACGCUGGCUGAGCCGUGAUGAAGUAUUCCUAUCCAUCCACUAUGCUUCACAGUGGGAAUCUCUCACUGUUCAUCACCGCUGCCCUAGCAGCCGCAGGGAUUCUUCACCCAUGGUUGCUUAGGUUUAUAAGCAAGGAAGCUGAAUGAAGUCCCUUUCCUCUCUGGAUGAGCCCCUGGGUUUCUGGAAGAGUCUUAAAAUCACCCCUAAAUGGCUUCCAAGCACUGAAGCCCGAGAUGUUAGCUGGCCUGUGUGAGGCCUUGAGACAGAAUGCCACAGCCACACCCCAAGGAUGCUGAAGGGGAUUUCCCUCCUCUGUGGUUUUUCUCCUUUCUUCCCGCAGCACUCCUCCUACGUGCUAACAUCUUCUAGUCAAACAACUCUCCUUUUCAAAGGGACCAGGCACAGUUUCUGCUUAUCCCUGAGUAGCAGUGUUCAGUUUCCUGCCAGCCUGUGGAGUUUUUCAAACAAGCCAAUCACCUCCUCCUGUGGGAACUGAGAAGCACCCCACCCUCUCGAUACUACAAAGCCCCUGCUUGUUCCCUAGUGCAACUCCCAUGUGGUCCUGUGGAGCAUAUGGUAUCUUCCUCUUCUGGGCAGUGAGCAUAUGUGACUAAUAAACUAUCUAUCUCAUCUGUUCAGUGCCAGGUGUCAUUUGUUCUGCCAUCCCAUGACCUAGGGUGGGGAUUCCUUCCACACCAACAGGGUGAAUGCAAGGUGAUUAAAACAAGAAGCCUCUUCAGGAUCUAUAUCCUAGGGAAAAAAUUAAACAACAACAACAAAACAAGAAGCUUCAACUCUGACCCUGUAUUCCAGAUGUGUUACAGGGGCCUGUCUCCCCAGAGCCACUCUCCAGGUCAGAGCUUACCUCCCCUUGCUCAGGGUUAGGAGCUCUGGGCAGGAAAAGGACAUCAUGUUAAAA